This 175-nucleotide microRNA precursor is filed under the name Paramuricea clavata. The record is from RNAcentral. Lineage: Eukaryota; Metazoa; Cnidaria; Anthozoa; Malacalcyonacea; Plexauridae.
UAAAAAACAAAUAAUGAAUGUUUUUAUUCAUGCAAUGGUAAGAAUAUUUCAUUCGGUGAAAGAUGGAAUGUUCCAUUCAACUCGGCUGUCGCCUCGUUGAAUGAAACAUUCCAUCUUUCACCUCAUGAAAAUAUUCUUGCCAUUGCACUCAUAAACAUUCAUUAUUUGUAUAAUA